This 1393-nucleotide unclassified non-coding RNA is filed under the name Hevea brasiliensis (rubber tree). Lineage: Eukaryota; Viridiplantae; Streptophyta; Magnoliopsida; Malpighiales; Euphorbiaceae. The record is from RNAcentral.
AGACUUUCCUUUCUCCUAAACCCUACACCAUUGAUUCUUUAGGACCAAAUCUACGAUGCUGGGCGUUUUAAGGCGCAAGGUUGCUUCUGCUUCGGGUUUAGGGAAAUCUAUGUAUGCAGUUCGACCUACCUCUAGAAUUUCAUCUACUGCAACUGAAGAGAUAUUACUUCUUCCUAUACAAUGCGGUCAUGCUCGGCAAUUCAGUCAUCUUGUUUUACCUGGAUGCUCAGUGAACAUGAGGCCAGAUAGGGGAGCUGUGGUUAAUUUUCACUCAAGUCUAUCACAACAGAUUUGCAUCAGGCCUUUUUGUUCAAAUAGUGGUGAUCUGGUCGAUGCUGUUGUUCCUUAUAUGGGCGAAUCCAUAAGCGAUGGCACACUGGCUAAAUUGCUGAAGAAUCCUGGUGACAAAGUAGAAGUUGAUGAGCCAAUUGCUCAGAUUGAAACAGACAAGGUAACAAUUGAUGUAACCAGUCCUGAGGCCGGUGUAAUCCAAAAGUUUGUAGCUAAGGAAGGAGAUACUGUGGAACCAGGCUUCAAGGUUGCUAUCAUUUCAAAAUCCGGUGAGGGUGUGGAGAGUGUAGAUCAUGUUGCUCCUUCUGAGAAGCCAUCUGAAAAAGAAGCUCUAAAGCCAACUUCUCCCAUUCAAGAGAAAAAGGUGGAAGAGGUGAAAUCCAAACUUGAGGUGGCUCCUGUGAAGGAGAAUUCUAAGGCAACUUCACCGCCCCCUAAACGGUCUGCUACAGAACCCCAACUUCCACCCAAAGAACGGGAAAGACGAGUUCCCAUGACUAGGCUCAGGAAAAGAGUUGCCACUCGAUUGAAAGAUUCUCAGAACACCUUCGCAUUGUUGACUACAUUCAAUGAAGUUGAUAUGACAAAUUUGAUGAAGCUCCGAUCUGAGUACAAAGACACGUUUGUUGAAAAGCACGGUGUGAAGUUAGGACUCAUGUCCGGAUUUGUGAAGGCAGCUGUUAGUGCACUCCAGAAUCAACCUAUAGUAAAUGCAGUUAUUGAUGGUGAUGACAUCAUAUAUCGGGACUAUGUAGACAUCAGUAUAGCUGUUGGCACCCCAAAGGGUCUGGUUGUACCUGUUCUCCGCGACGUUGACCGGAUGAAUUUUGCUGAGAUAGAAAAGACAAUAAACGAGCUUGCUAAGAAGGCAACUAAUGGAACCAUCUCUAUUGAUGAAAUGGCUGGAGGAUCGUUUACAAUAUCCAAUGGUGGUGUGUAUGGAAGUCUUCUAAGUACUCCCAUCAUAAAUCCUCCUCAGUCUGCUAUCUUGGGAAUGCAUUCAAUAGUGAAUCGCCCAAUGGUUGUUGGAGGCGUCAUUGUCUCAAGACCAAUGAUGUACAUUGCGCUGACAUAUGAUCAUAGGCUGAUUGAUGGAAGAGAG